AGCGUGCGCAGGCGGUUAUGUAAGACAGUUGUGAAAUCCCCGGGCUCAACCUGGGAACUGCAUCUGUGACUGCAUAGCUAGAGUACGGUAGAGGGGGAUGGGAAUUCCGCGUGUAGCAGUGAAAUGCGUAGAUAUGCGGAGGAACACCGAUGGCGAAGGCAAUCCCCUCGGACCUGUACUGACGCUCAUGCACGAAAGCGUGGGGAGCAAACAGGAUUAGAUACCCCUGU
Molecule: ribosomal RNA, 230 nt
Filed under: uncultured bacterium
Lineage: Bacteria
Description: partial 16S ribosomal RNA
Rfam family: Bacterial small subunit ribosomal RNA
Source: RNAcentral